AACGCUCAUCUGGCUGUGGCAGCCUGUGACUGAAUGAGAGAAAAGUGCCCUAGAAGCUAUUCAUUACGAAUUCACUGGAAGCUCUCAAACGAGGCUGGCAGAAGCUGAAAUUGAAGUGGUCUCUGACCUAAUUUUCUUCUGCAUGAAACAUCUGCAUCAAGGCUCUCUUUGAUGUAUUCCACUUGGCUCUGUCUACGGGAUUGUAUCACAUGGACUCGGUGUUGCCUCCUUAUUGAAAGACAUUUCCAGCCUUUGCAAGAUGGCCGGUUUGACACAAAUUAGAACAACCUUGAUAGCUGUCAACUGGAGACUAUCUGAGAACAAAAGGACAUUAUUGCAAACCAGCACUGGAGCAACUCUGAAAGAAGAUAAAAGUACAUGAAGAAAUCAUUUGCAGGCACUGGACAAAAAAGAGUGCAAAACUAUAAUCUUGAGAGCAGGACACACACAGUUUGCAGCAUCACAGAAAAUGAUGCUCUCUCCUGCCAAGUCCCAUUUUUUGGGAGGAGGAAAUGGAUUAGGUCCUGGAGGUUGUCAUAAAUGCAUCAAGUGACUUUCUCAGCAUCAUCUGAAACAAUUGAAGAUCCUAAAAAAAUGAUAGCAGCUUUUAAGAAGGACUAUAGUGGAACAAGCAAUAUUCUAAGUGACAAGAGACACAGAUUCUAGAAUAAACUUAGCCAAAUAUGUAUGAACUCGAACAAUCUCCUUUGCCUCUCCAGGUUUUAAUUUCCCCAUCUUUACAAUGGAAGCAAUGACAACAGCAGCAUGCAGCUAGUUUGGAGAUUUUGAAGUCAGAUUGGCUAUUUAGCAUUAACCCACCAUGGUGCUGGUUGAUCUUGCUAGAUACAAAUCUGUCAUAAGUGAAAGCAUCUUGACGGUGUCUUGGAAGCUGACUGGAAAAAUACUGCUUUUAGCAGUACCUUUAAAGCAACAGGAGCUUUUCUGCAUUGCAUAGAGACAGAAUGAGCUUUGUGUAAACUGUGCUGUAGCCACGUUAUUCUGAAAGCCCAUUGGGAAGAUGCCAAUAGUAAUUCAGCUCAAAUAAUCUCUAUUAGCCAUAACCCUUUUGGUUGCAAGAGACAAAAACAUGACUGAAAUUAUUUUCGGCUAGAAGGAUCGAGGAGACUUGCAGCAUAGCUUUGAGAACAGCUGAAAUUAAAGACAUGAAUGCUGCAAGUGUCUCUGCCACUCUUUGUGUAUUAACUUUAUGUGCUCAGCCUGGCUUCCUCCACACUGCAAGGGAUAUGGCUGUUGCUUAUAUUUUCAUCUCCAUCUUUGCCACCAGAGAGGGACUGCCUUUUGUCUUGUUCCAAUUUGGGAAUUCCUGGGGAAGGACUACUCUGGCUUGGGUCACAUGUCCACACCCUGAAUCAAACAUCUGAGGUCAUGGAGAAGUACACUGAUUGGAAGAUCCUACUAAUAUUAAAAAGUUUGAGGAAGAGAAGCAAUUGCCUCUAUAAAGGGAUGCUACUCCUAGAAAAAUGAUGGGUGCUGAGAAGGCCAAAUGAUCAGUGCCUACUGAACUGUCCCAUAGGUAUUUAGGUAGAUAUGGGUAAUAAAGUUCUUGUGAACUAGCCCACUACAUGGAAUGCAAUGUAAGGAAACACAGCUUGGUUCUGACACCAACUAGCUGUGUGACCUUGGACCUCAUCAUUCAUCUCUCUGAAUUUUGAUUACUUAUAUAAACAACUGUCUUCCCCCUCACCCCGCCUUGAGUAGGGCUCUUUGAGAUUGGACAGAAGUGCAGCCAUCCAGCCCAGAACACAACAAGAAUAGAGUUGAUGAGCCCUCUUCUCCUCAACAAACACCUGUGAUGAGAACAUUGAGGCAAGGGAACAGGUGGCCAAAAAUACCCUCAUAGCCUUGAGAAAGUCCAUCUUGAUGUUAUCCAGUGAAACUUAAUGGCAACGCAGGAGCCAGGGAGCCUGCUUUAUUUUGGAAAUGAAAAAGUCAGUACAGUUGAUGAGAAUUUGAAGAGAAAAGACACAACAAAGUAGAAGGCUAACACCAAUUCCAAACAAUAGUAAAGAAUCAUAAUAAAGUUACUAUGAAUCAAAAAAAAAAAAAAA
This 2069-nucleotide long non-coding RNA is filed under the name Homo sapiens (human). RNAcentral's name for it is "long independently transcribed non-coding RNA 1505 (LINC01505)". The record is from RNAcentral. Lineage: Eukaryota; Metazoa; Chordata; Mammalia; Primates; Hominidae.